UAGAAAUAUACAUAAUUUCACACAAAUAGUUUCCAGGUGAGAAGUUCCGGUUCUUGAAGUGGGCGUGGUGUAUAUAAGGGAGCUGCGGUGUUCAUUCAGGCAUGUGUCGUCUUUGUUCUCCCACUGUGUGGCUUGCGUCUGGUGGACUUUGACAGCAGAAAGCAACAAAUCGCUGGCUGGUGCAUGUUGCGCUGAUGUUCUGGUGGUAAAACGCCACUGCGCUGCGUUCCUUCUCUUCCUCGGUCUGCGAGUGUGUGUGCAUGUUUUGUGGAUCAGCAGGUUCCCCACAGUUGAACCAUUGCUGCUCUGUCUACGUUCGUUUCCCGGAUCUGUUCGGCUUUGUUCUGCACCGGCUACGUAAAUCUCCCGGAUUUCUGCACAAUUGUUCUCAAGUUGGACUG
Poecilia latipinna (sailfin molly) is the source of this 401-nucleotide long non-coding RNA. RefSeq lists it as uncharacterized. NCBI's taxonomy places the organism in Eukaryota, Metazoa, Chordata, Actinopteri, Cyprinodontiformes, Poeciliidae. The transcript is spliced from 3 exons. The record is from RefSeq and is a predicted model, not a curated record.